Molecule: ribosomal RNA, 370 nt
Filed under: uncultured bacterium
Lineage: Bacteria
Description: bacterial SSU rRNA
Rfam family: Bacterial small subunit ribosomal RNA
Source: RNAcentral
GACGAACGCUGGCGGCGUGCUUAACACAUGCAAGUCGAGCGGUAAGGCCCUUUCGGGGGUACACGAGCGGCGAACGGGUGAGUAACACGUGGGUGACCUGCCCUCAGCUCUGGGAUAAGCCUGGGAAACCGGGUCUAAUACUGGAUAUGACUCCAUGACGCAUGUUGUGGGUGAAAGCCUUGUGCGGCUGAGGAUGGGCCCGNGGCCUAUCAGCUUGUUGGUGGGGUGAUGGCCUACCAAGGCGACGACGGGUAGCCGGCCUGAGAGGGCGACCGGCACACUGGGACUGAGACACGGCCCAGACUCCUACGGGAGGCAGCAGUGGGGAAUCUUGCGCAAUGGGCGAAAGCCUGACGCAGCGACGCCGCGU